CACCCUCAACGCCCCACCCUCCCUUUUUCAUCUCGCUUUUUUUUUUAUUUUUUCCAAUUCUUCCCGCUUUCUCUCUCUGGUUUUGCUCGGCUUGAAUGAGGCAAAAUGUAGAGUGUUCGGCAUAAAGAUACUUUCGCUC
Molecule: non-coding RNA, 139 nt
Filed under: Palpitomonas bilix
Lineage: Eukaryota
Source: RNAcentral